UACGUAGGGUGCAAGCGUUGUCCGGAAUUAUUGGGCGUAAAGAGCUCGUAGGCGGUUCGUCGCGUCGGCUGUGAAAUCCCGGAGCUCAACUCCGGGUCUGCAGUCGAUACGGGCGGACUCGAGUUCGGCAGGGGAGACUGGAAUUCCUGGUGUAGCGGUGAAAUGCGCAGAUAUCAGGAGGAACACCGGUGGCGAAGGCGGGUCUCUGGGACGGUACUGACGCUGAGACGCGAAAGCGUGGGGAGCGAACAGG
This 253-nucleotide ribosomal RNA is filed under the name uncultured bacterium. RNAcentral's name for it is "partial 16S ribosomal RNA". It matches the Rfam family "Bacterial small subunit ribosomal RNA", at positions 524 to 776 of the family's 1533-position model. The record is from RNAcentral.